This is a long non-coding RNA of Pogoniulus pusillus (Red-fronted tinkerbird), 675 nucleotides long. RefSeq lists it as uncharacterized. The record is from RefSeq and is a predicted model, not a curated record. Lineage: Eukaryota; Metazoa; Chordata; Aves; Piciformes; Lybiidae. The transcript has 3 exons.
GAGAGGAAAGCCACACCGCCCCAGCACAGACAGGCGCAGAUGCUGAACUGUGUCUCUGUUUCACUCGCGGUGAUACCAAAAGGCUGGUUGCUGGAAGAGAUGCUGGAGGAGAUGCUAAGACCUUGUUGCUGCUGAGUAAAAAAGGCUGUCCAGUUGUGGAAGUGUGGGUUUGUUCCUUCAUCUGGGCCUUAGGGCUCAAAGGUGACCCAGCUACUGUCCUGCCAUCUGCUGAAGCAUGACCUGAAAAUGAGUGUUACCUGUACUACUGCAGGCAAGAAGCGGAGAGCUCCAGGCUGGGAAGCAUUCACGUCCUUUGUUGGAAUGACUGCUCAUAUAUUUUCUACACUCUGCCAGCCAGAGGGACUGAAGGUAGCUCACUUUAGCCUCACUGCCUCGUGGUGAGGAUGCUAAUCUGGAAGAGAUGGUAACCAUUAUUUUAAAUCUGCUUUGUCUGAACUAAACUACAAUGUCUCUGUUGUGCUAUAAAAGCUCUCACAUUUAAAUUUGUUUUGACCCAAGUUGGGGCCUGUUUUUAGUUUUGUUCCUCCCUAGUUUUUGUCUAGGCAGGAUGUCUGGGAACUCUCUCUCCCCUUUCAUUAAUUGCAAACGUAAUGAUAACAAAACUCUGAGGCAGUGAACACCUCUCACUUGGCUUUGGAGUUUAUUCAUCCCUAA